GCUCAGGAUGAACGCUGGCGGCGUGCUUAACACAUGCAAGUCGAGCGAAGCACUUUUGCGGAUUUCUUCGGAUUGAAGCAAUUGUGACUGAGCGGCGGACGGGUGAGUAACGCGUGGGUAACCUGCCUCAUACAGGGGGAUAACAGUUGGAAACGGCUGCUAAUACCGCAUAAGCGCACAGUACCGCAUGGUACCGUGUGAAAAACUCCGGUGGUAUGAGAUGGACCCGCGUCUGAUUAGCUAGUUGGUGGGGUAACGGCCUACCAAGGCGACGAUCAGUAGCCGACCUGAGAGGGUGACCGGCCACAUUGGGACUGAGACACGGCCCAAACUCCUACGGGAGGCAGCAGUA
This 352-nucleotide ribosomal RNA is filed under the name uncultured bacterium. RNAcentral describes it as "bacterial SSU rRNA". It matches the Rfam family "Bacterial small subunit ribosomal RNA", at positions 22 to 356 of the family's 1533-position model. The record is from RNAcentral.